GGAAUUUUCCGCAAUGGGCGAAAGCCUGACGCAGCAACGCCGCGUGGAGGAUGAAGGCCCUCGGGUCGUAAACUCCUGUCAGUGGGGAAGAAUGCUUCGGUUUGACUGUACCCGCUGAGGAAGCCACGGCUAACUCCGUGCCAGCAGCCGCGGUAAUACGGAGGUGGCAAGCGUUGUUCGGAAUUACUGGGCGUAAAGGGCGCGUAGGCGGCUUGGCAAGUCAGGUGUGAAAUCCCCGAGCUUAACUUGGGAAUUGCACCUGAAACUGUCGAGCUUGAGUCCUGGAGGGGAUAGCGGAAUUCCCAGUGUAGCGGUGAAAUGCGUAGAUAUUGGGAGGAACACCUGCGGCGAAGGCGGCUAUCUGGACAGUGACUGACGCUGAGGCGCGAAAGCUAGGGGAGCGAAUGGGAUUAGAUACCCCAGUAGUC
Molecule: ribosomal RNA, 428 nt
Filed under: uncultured cyanobacterium
Lineage: Bacteria; Bacillati; Cyanobacteriota
Description: bacterial SSU rRNA
Rfam family: Bacterial small subunit ribosomal RNA
Source: RNAcentral